UAACCAUCUAGUAAUGAAAACCGACGUCCGAAUAGAUUAAAUGUGUGCAAAGCAACACUUAGAACCUACUGGACUAUGGUUAUCGUAUAAUUCAUUCUUUUAACCCUAAUGCUCAAGGUGAUCUAGGAUUUAACUAUCAACUCUGAAAUAGUCAACCACAUUAUAUUUCAACCUUUCAAAUCUUUUAUAUGGAUUAUCCAGAUCAAGAUUUUACUGAAUUGAAAUAAAGUGAUACAUUAACUCCUACUUAUUCGGAGGGAUCAAUCACAUCUUGACUCACACACUGACUACCACAGGCACUUGACUGUCCUGAUAUCUUUCAUCACUAAAUUAAAAAUUCAGAUAGUUCGAUACCAAAGCAUAGUGAGUUGCUCGCAAGUCACCGUGGUGAUCUCAGAUCGAAGGGAUAAUUAUAUGUUAGAUGUAUGUUCU
This 432-nucleotide long non-coding RNA is filed under the name Elaeis guineensis (African oil palm). Its description in RNAcentral is "long non-coding RNA (EGUI_LNC034393)". The record is from RNAcentral. Lineage: Eukaryota; Viridiplantae; Streptophyta; Magnoliopsida; Arecales; Arecaceae.